RNAcentral lists this ribosomal RNA (879 nucleotides) under uncultured bacterium. RNAcentral describes it as "bacterial SSU rRNA". It matches the Rfam family "Bacterial small subunit ribosomal RNA", at positions 28 to 897 of the family's 1533-position model. The record is from RNAcentral.
GAUGAACGCUAGCUACAGGCUUAACACAUGCAAGUCGAGGGGAAACGACAUCGAAAGCUUGCUUUUGAUGGGCGUCGACCGGCGCACGGGUGAGUAACGCGUAUCCAACCUGCCCACCACUUGGGGAUAACCUUGCGAAAGUAAGACUAAUACCCAAUGAUAUCUCUAGAAGACAUCUGAAAGAGAUUAAAGAUUUAUCGGUGAUGGAUGGGGAUGCGUCUGAUUAGCUUGUUGGCGGGGUAACGGCCCACCAAGGCGACGAUCAGUAGGGGUUCUGAGAGGAAGGUCCCCCACAUUGGAACUGAGACACGGUCCAAACUCCUACGGGAGGCAGCAGUGAGGAAUAUUGGUCAAUGGGCGAGAGCCUGAACCAGCCAAGUAGCGUGCAGGAUGACGGCCCUAUGGGUUGUAAACUGCUUUUAUAAGGGAAUAAAGUGAGUCUCGUGAGACUUUUUGCAUGUACCUUAUGAAUAAGGACCGGCUAAUUCCGUGCCAGCAGCCGCGGUAAUACGGAAGGUCCGGGCGUUAUCCGGAUUUAUUGGGUUUAAAGGGAGCGUAGGCCGGAGAUUAAGCGUGUUGUGAAAUGUAGAUGCUCAACAUCUGAACUGCAGCGCGAACUGGUUUCCUUGAGUACGCACAAAGUGGGCGGAAUUCGUGGUGUAGCGGUGAAAUGCUUAGAUACCACGAAGAACUCCGAUUGCGAAGGCAGCUCACUGGAGCGCAACUGACGCUGAAGCUCGAAAGUGCGGGUAUCGAACAGGAUUAGAUACCCUGGUAGUCCGCACGGUAAACGAUGGAUGCCCGCUGUUGGUCUGAAUAGGUCAGCGGCCAAGCGAAAGCAUUAAGCAUCCCACCUGGGGAGUACGCCGGCAACGGUGA